AAAGUCGUAACAAGGUUUCCGUAGGUGAACCUGCGGAAGGAUCAUUAGAGAUUCGUGGCGCGAGCCACAUACACACACACACCGUGAACCGUGGGCCUCGGCCCCAUUACAAACCAUGUCGUAUCAGAACGUGAUCAUAUGUAACAAUGAAAAAACUUUCAACAACGGAUCUCUUGGCUCUC
Molecule: unclassified non-coding RNA, 182 nt
Filed under: Basidiomycota sp.
Lineage: Eukaryota; Fungi; Basidiomycota
Description: partial contains small subunit ribosomal RNA, internal transcribed spacer 1, and 5.8S ribosomal RNA
Rfam family: Eukaryotic small subunit ribosomal RNA (bases 1-47)
Source: RNAcentral